RNAcentral lists this long non-coding RNA (481 nucleotides) under Homo sapiens (human). RNAcentral's name for it is "HSALNT0291877". The record is from RNAcentral. Lineage: Eukaryota; Metazoa; Chordata; Mammalia; Primates; Hominidae.
CUUCAUGGUCAGCUUCGUGUUUUGAAUCUUGGUAAACCUAGAUAGGAUGGAAAUGGUCCACAUCAGGGCUAACAACUGUAAACUAAAAAUAAAAUCCUACACCCCCCAACCAACUAAAUGGACCCCCUUUUGGCCAAGGGGACCCCAGGGAACCUUAAAAACAGGGUUUCCAGCUAUGAUGGGAAGGGACGUCAAACAUGCCAUGUUAUGCCCACGCCCUUUUGCAGCUUAGACACAACAAAUGACCAGCAUUAACGUCAAAGCAGAGAUCACAAGACUGACAGAAUGCAUUGUUUGUGUCAAUAAGAUACCUAAUUAUAAAUAGGAUCUAAGGCCAUGCCAGGCAAGGGUUAAGUCUUGCACCUCUGCACUUAAAGAAGAGACUAUGCUCUAACUGCCGCGAGGAUUUUCUUUUUCUGUAGCAGCUAAACAAGUACAGGACUUGAGAUAACCAAUAUUAAAACAAUUUGUAUAAUGUGGU